Molecule: ribosomal RNA, 468 nt
Filed under: uncultured bacterium
Lineage: Bacteria
Description: partial 16S ribosomal RNA
Rfam family: Bacterial small subunit ribosomal RNA
Source: RNAcentral
GACGAACGCUGGCGGCGUGCUUAACACAUGCAAGUCGAACGGAAAGGCCCUGCUUUUGUGGGGUGCUCGAGUGGCGAACGGGUGAGUAACACGUGAGUAACCUGCCCUUGACUUUGGGAUAACUUCAGGAAACUGGGGCUAAUACCGGAUAGGAGCUCCUGCUGCAUGGUGGGGGUUGGAAAGUUUCGGCGGUAGGGGAUGGACUCGCGGCUUAUCAGCUUGUUGGUGGGGUAGUGGCUUACCAAGGCUUUGACGGGUAGCCGGCCUGAGAGGGUGACCGGCCACAUUGGGACUGAGAUACGGACCAGACUCCUACGGGAGGCAGCAGUGGGGAAUAUUGCACAAUGGGCGGAAGCCUGAUGCAGCAACGCCGCGUGCGGGAUGACGGCCUUCGGGUUGUAAACCGCUUUCGCCUGUGACGAAGCGUGAGUGACGGUAAUGGGUAAAGAAGCACCGGCUAACUACGUG